Molecule: ribosomal RNA, 609 nt
Filed under: Triticum aestivum (bread wheat)
Lineage: Eukaryota; Viridiplantae; Streptophyta; Magnoliopsida; Poales; Poaceae
Description: partial small subunit ribosomal RNA
Source: RNAcentral
UCGGGCGGGCGAGAAGACGAAGAAUCCCCAGGAGAUGAUCACGACGGUGAUGCUGUACACAGUCAUCAUGUAGAAGAUGCAGGACAUGAUCAUGAUGCCGGCGGAGCAGACGACGCUGGACCAUCGAUGGGCUGGGUGCAGGACCCUCAUAUUCAAGAGCUGCUUCUCAAGCAGACGGAUAACGCAAGAGCUGCCGCCCAAGAGAAAGCCAAGAUGGAUCAACUUGAGUUAGACGCGGUUACUCCAUUGUAUGAAGGAUGCAGGCCCGAGGAUACCUGCCUGAAAGUAACGCUCAUGGCUCUGGAGAUGAAGGUAAAACACAAAAUGACUGACGCAUGCUUCGACGAGAACAUGUCAUUCUGGCACGAACGUCUUCCCAAGGGGAACAAGUGCCCGACCAAUUUGGAGGAGGCGAAGAAAAUCGUGUGUCCUCUGGAUUUACCGCACAUGAAAUACCAUGUGUGCAUGAACAAUUGCAUCAUUUAUCGGGACGAGCACGCGGAGUCUACCAUAUGUCCGGUGUGCGGCGUCACUCGAUACAAGAAGAGGAAGAAAGCUCCUCGAAAAGUGGUGUGGUACUUUCCGAUCACUCCUCGUCUGCAGCGGUAU